Molecule: long non-coding RNA, 1269 nt
Organism: Astatotilapia calliptera (eastern happy)
Lineage: Eukaryota; Metazoa; Chordata; Actinopteri; Cichliformes; Cichlidae
Source: Ensembl
GUGCACUGAAGCAGCAAAUCGUUUUUUGACCGUGACAUCGUUUGUUUGUAUGUACGAGUCAGAAAUAAAUCUGGACAUCUCACAUUAAGAAGUGGAAAAAUUAUGUUUUCAAAGCUUGGUAGAGAAAUUCGCCACUACACUACAUGUGUGUACUUCAGCCUUUGUCGUGAUUUGUCUCAUAGUUAUUUUCCCUGUUUGUUCUGUAUUUCUUGGUUAGUAUCUGAGUUUUUUGCACUCAGCCCUCUCUGGGUUUUCGGUUUUCAUGUGAAGUUUCAUCAGUAAAGCUGUUUUGAGUUUAGUUCUGCUUCCACUGAACUAACUGUGGUUACAAAUGGCUGUUAUUCUAAAACAAUUCAUGAUUUAUUUAUUUUUUGUAAAACUCAUUAAGUAAAAGCUUAAAGUCUGCACUUCAGUCACAUUAAUUAUUUGAUUUACAAUUGACUGUGGUGGUGAACAGAUGCAGAGCUACAAAUCUAGUAAAACAUAAUGGUCUUUUUAAAAUUCUCACUAAACCUGCAGUGACAAUAGUUCUCUUGUUUUGGGGGGAUUUUUUUUUUUUUUUUUUUGUAUUUCUAACUUACAGUACAUGACAAGCCCGUACUAACAGCAGACAGCACAACCAUACCAGCAGGGGGCAGUGUGACACUGACCUGUGAUGUGAAGGACUCUGCUGACUUAAAAUAUGAGUGGUUCAGACAAACGUCAUCUGAAGUAAAGUCCAUAAUAACUGGUGAAUCAGGCAGAACGAUCUCUGUGUCUGAAGGAGGCACGUACACCUGCAGGGCUGAAGGGAAAAAUAUCAUCAUUACAGGAAGUGACUCAGUCACAAUUAAGAAAACUGGUGAGUUUAAACAUUUCACUUGAACUAAAACAUUUUUUCUGUUAUUAUUAUUAUUGUUUUUGUUGUUGUAUUUGAGGUAUUUUUAAAGACAAAUCAGCAUUUAUUCACAUAAUUAUGAUAAAACCUGCUGCUGGAAACAACUUUUUGUAUUAUCUUUUUUUUGUUCCCUGUUUUGUUUUUGUUGUUUCUUUUUUUAACAAUAUUUGUUGAACAGUCUUAGCUGCUGUGAAACUGCAGCCCAUGUGAGUUUAUCUACAAUUCAAACUGAAGUUUCCUGUUUUCAUUUAUACGUCUGUUUAAACAGAACAUCAGGAAACAAUUAUCUUAAUUAAUUUCAAUUAAGACCCUCUAAAACCUCUAACAAUGAUCCAGCUGUUUCCAGGCAGCUUACUAUUUUAUAUUUGGUGUUUUUGGCCAAUUGUUUGUUG